GGAGGGUGCGAGCGUUGUUCGGAAUUACUGGGCGUAAAGCGCGUGUAGGCGGCCUUCUAAGUCUGGUGUGAAAGCCCGGGGCUCACCCCCGGAAGUGCAUCGGAUACUGGGAGGCUAGAGUACCGGAGAGGAGGGUGGAAUUCCUGGUGUAGCGGUGAAAUGCGUAGAUAUCAGGAGGAACACCUGUGGCGAAGGCGGCCCUCUGGACGGAUACUGACGCUGAGACGCGAAAGCGUGGGGAGCAAACAGGAUUAGAUACCCUGGUAGUCCACGCUGUAAACGAUGGGCACUAGGUGUUCGGGGUAUUGACCCCCCUGGGUGCCGUAGCUAACGCAUUAAGUGCCCCGCCUGGGGAUUACGGCCGCAAGGCUA
Molecule: ribosomal RNA, 372 nt
Filed under: uncultured organism
Description: partial 16S ribosomal RNA
Rfam family: Bacterial small subunit ribosomal RNA
Source: RNAcentral